UUCCUGGCUGUAUAUGACAAAAUCAAUAGAAUUUGAGAUUCGAUUAAAAGAGAGAAUUCAAAACUUUCUCCACACACAACUUGUCAAAAUAUAGAACGUAUACACUACAUUAAAAUGAGGAAGAUAAGUCGACCGUUGUUAUUGGUUAAUCUGUGCAUGUGCAUAUGCAUGGCCGUCGAUGAUCGGCUUCCUCCAAAUACGCACGCCGAAUAUGUGAACAGUUCGAACGCAAUCACUCGCGCGUGUGCUCGUGUUUCGCCGGACAUCGUAGACGUACGUCUUUCGCGCAUUCGCUGUAAGAUGAACUGGUCUUUAGGCCGGAUUCACACUGGCCAGCGAUCGCGGCUGCAGCCGGCGACUGUUGCUGUGGAAGCGGUCCCAUCGGG
Molecule: long non-coding RNA, 386 nt
Filed under: Androctonus crassicauda
Lineage: Eukaryota; Metazoa; Arthropoda; Arachnida; Scorpiones; Buthidae
Source: RNAcentral